Molecule: microRNA precursor, 86 nt
Organism: Anolis carolinensis (green anole)
Lineage: Eukaryota; Metazoa; Chordata; Lepidosauria; Squamata; Anolidae
Source: Ensembl
UGGUAUAAAGUGUUAAUCCUCCCCUAUUGAAAUCAAUGGGAUGCCUGCCACUGACUUCAAUAGGAGUAGGAUGACACUAUAUGAUG